RNAcentral lists this unclassified non-coding RNA (248 nucleotides) under uncultured fungus. RNAcentral describes it as "sequence contains ITS2". The stretch from base 1 to 52 matches the Rfam family "5.8S ribosomal RNA", at positions 103 to 154 of the family's 154-position model. The record is from RNAcentral. Lineage: Eukaryota; Fungi.
AACGCACAUUGCGCCCCUUGGUAUUCCGAGGGGCAUGCCUGUUCGAGCGUCAUUUCAAACCCUCAAGCUUCUGCUUGGUGUUGGGCUCUCGUCCGUCACAGGACGUGCCCGAAACUCGUAGGCGGUGGCGCCCAGCUCCUCAGCGUAGUUAUACAUUCCGCUUCGGAUCGUUGGGUGUUGCUCGCCUCACAACCACUAUUUUUCUAUGGUUUGACCUCGGAUCAGGUAGGGAUACCCGCUGAACUUAA